RNAcentral lists this ribosomal RNA (377 nucleotides) under uncultured Streptococcus sp. RNAcentral's name for it is "bacterial SSU rRNA". It matches the Rfam family "Bacterial small subunit ribosomal RNA", at positions 1004 to 1382 of the family's 1533-position model. The record is from RNAcentral. Lineage: Bacteria; Bacillati; Bacillota; Bacilli; Lactobacillales; Streptococcaceae.
AGAUAGAAAGUUACUUCGGUACAUCGGCGACAGGUGGUGCAUGGUUGUCGUCAGCUCGUGUCGUGAGAUGUUGGGUUAAGUCCCGCAACGAGCGCAGCCCCUAUUGUUAGUUGCCAUCAUUCAGUUAGGCACUCUAGCGAGACUGCCGGUAAUAAACCGGAGGAAGGUGGGGAUGACGUCAAAUCAUCAUGCCCCUUAUGACCUGGGCUACACACGUGCUACAAUGGUUGGUACAACGAGUUGCGAGUCGGUGACGGCGAGCUAAUCUCUUAAAGCCAAUCUCAGUUCGGAUUGUAGGCUGCAACUCGCCUACAUGAAGUCGGAAUCGCUAGUAAUCGCGGAUCAGCACGCCGCGGUCGAAUACGUUCCCGGGCCUU